Molecule: long non-coding RNA, 721 nt
Filed under: Malus domestica (apple)
Lineage: Eukaryota; Viridiplantae; Streptophyta; Magnoliopsida; Rosales; Rosaceae
Description: long non-coding RNA (MDOM_LNC016602)
Source: RNAcentral
UGAAACUUUGCAAGAUGUUUAUUUAGUCAAUUAUCUAUUAGUUUAUCAUAAAAAAUUGGAAGGAAAUGCAUUGCAUGAUGGAUUUAACAUUAUCAAGUUGAUUAUAUAGCGAGCUGACAAACAUUGUGAGUAUAGAAAAUAUGUAGUAAUUAAUGAAAGAAGUUUAAACACACCAUAAUCAUUUAUAUAUAAUGAAUUAUGUACCAUUCAAACAACGAGGAGUGUGCCAAUGCUCUUAAUCAGGUUGGAUAGACCUGAAGUCGUUGCUAGAGAUGUGAUUUAGGUAUAAAGUUACUUAGCAUUGUAUCGCAUUCAUCCAAACAACUAACUUUCUCAUGUUCGUACCUAAUCACAUGUUCAAUUGAUUUUGGUCAAAUGUUUAGGAAACAUGAUUCAAUUAACUCAUAUUCGAGGACAAAAAAUCAUUAGUGUGAACAUAGAAAAGAAGAAAUUCUUGGAUAGUUGGACUAUCAAAACUUGUUUACCAAGUAAAUGGCAAGAGAAAGGUUAUAUAAAGUUUCGAACAAGCAAUCCUAAGAUUUUAUUCUUCGUCAUAAUUAUAAGCCACUUUGUGAAACCCCACCCCAAAAGAUUUUGUAAAUUCGCAUUUUUCCCCCCAAAAGGUUUAUUAAAUUUUGCAUUUUAGUCCCCUAUCUUCAUCCAAUCAAAAUCUCAUUUUCAGAUUUUCUAAACCUGUCCUCCUAUCAUUGCUUGCCACGUG